This 778-nucleotide long non-coding RNA is filed under the name Mytilus galloprovincialis (Mediterranean mussel). Lineage: Eukaryota; Metazoa; Mollusca; Bivalvia; Mytilida; Mytilidae. The record is from RNAcentral.
GUAAAUAAGUGCAAAUUGGUACGGAUUUGCAUAAAAAUGUAAAUUGUAUAUGCAUUUGUUGUCUAUUAUGUAAACAUAUUGCAAAUUUUUAUCAUUGUUGCUGGUUAAGAUGGUUUUUGAAUUGGUGCUAGUAUGAUACCUCAUGAAAUGUUAAUUUUUAAAAUUUCUGUUCCAUACAAAGUUGCCAAAUACUCAUAAAAAUACAUUUUAAAUGUUGCAGAGAACUAUGUUGUAGCAGAUUAUGUUAUCUGAAGCCUUUUUGCUCAGUUAGUGAAGUUGUUUUUUAAUUAUACAAAUUAAGAACGCUUAGUAGUAUGUAACAACUUUAAUGAUGUUUCAUUACAAGUCUUAACAUCUGGAUUCAGAAAGAAUUAUAAUUGAAUGAGGUUUGUCUUCUGUUAAGUUUUGCAUCAUAAAUUUGAAGCCAAUUGUCACAAUAUAAUGUGCAAUUAGUUACCGGAUCUAUUAAGUAAGAUUAAUGAUAAUUUACAUUUCAUUUUUAAAUAAUUUAUACUUUUGAUUAUUGUUAAUUAAUUUACUUGCAUAAUCAAAUUUUAAAAGGAUUUCUUGUUUUUAGAUAAGUAGAAAACGUUUGUUUAAAUGACUGGAAUUCGAACCUAGGAAACAGAUGUGCGAAAGAUAUGUUAUGUAGUAGCUGUUUUUUUUUCUUCUAUAAUAUUAACUAUUUUUAUUUUGAAAUGUUUUAAACAUAUUUUCAACCAUUGUUAAGCUUUUACAUGACAUAUUAUAUAACUGACAUACACAGUAUGCAUUUUUA